This is a long non-coding RNA of Esox lucius (northern pike), 1560 nucleotides long. The record is from Ensembl. Lineage: Eukaryota; Metazoa; Chordata; Actinopteri; Esociformes; Esocidae.
AUUUAUGCUGUCUCGUUCUGUAGACUGGCUAGUGGGUGGGUAUAUCGAAUUAAUUGUUGGGCCGUCUAGCUACUGAUUCUCGUUUAAUCUACAUAUUACUGGUAGUUAGAUUCUGCGGCAAUGCAAUGUCACGUUAUGCCUCCUAGUUAAGCAUUACUCACAAAAAAAUCACUUAACAUUAGGUUGGCUGCCCCCUCUCCUCUAAAACUCACUGACCUAUGUUUGCCCAUAGAUGUCUUUCUCCCGUUAUCUUCUUUGCGCUUGUUGAUUCCACCGCUGAGGCUGGUCUCUGCGGCCAUGUGGCAAGUAGCGCAACGAAGAGAUGUCUUGGAUUAUGAGAAGUUGGAGGAGUUUGUCACCCUUGUUACAGCUACUGUUCCAGAUCUGCUGAAUGAGAAACAGAGGGCCACGCUCCUUUUGAGGCUUCGGACGAGGGUUAGUAACACUUGCAACGACCUGUUGCAGAAACUCAUUGUAAUCUAUGUUAAGGUGGCUGUUGACAGGUAACCCCUUUCAUCGACAAUGGGCUUUGAGCUAAUUGUAUCUUUGUUCUGCGUUCAUAAAGCUGCUGCCGGUGGUCCGAAUUUAUUAUGGUUUGUUUCUGUACUGGUGUUUUAUCUAUAGUUAUGGUUUGAUGGGUCCAGUUUUGUGUUCUUAUGCUGUUAUUUUCAGGUGAUACUGGAAUUGUGUGCCGCUGACCAGACAGCUGAUAUCCAGAUUGUCCAACCCCACCUGGACAGAAUUCACCCACCUGGACACACAGGGAGUGGAGAUGCUGAGGUGGAUGCAGAGGAGGCCAUUUUUCUGGAGCUCAUCCAGACUUUGCUGAAAGACCCAGCGGAGAGAGAACAUUUCUUCAGGGUGGUGUUUCCGGCUGAAUAUGGGGACACCUAUGACACAGAUAUGCAACUACUGGUGUGGGAGUUCCUCUCUAAACUGGAGAAGCUAUUGCCAGUACCAGACCUCGGACAGGUGAUGGCCAAAUGAGGCUUCAUUACCGGUCUUCUGGCAGCAGGAACAUGUGCUAGCAGCACUAACUCAGAUUUUUUUUUUCAAAAUAAAAGCCGUCAUUGAAAUGUAUAAGGCAAUAUGAAUUGAUAUAAGGCAAUAUCAAUAUUGAUCUAGUCUGUACAUGUUAUGUUUAAUGUUUGUAACAAAUAUUGUUCUUGUUAAAACUAGAUUGCAAUAUAAAUGUCAAUUAUGCUUUUAUUUUGAAAAAGAAAAUCAGAGUGGUGCCAGCAUAAUGUCAUGCUGCUAAAAUAACUUUAAAGAAGCCUCGUUUGGCCAUCAAUACCAACACACCCCUCUAGGUCACCUGCAGUGGCGUUAAAGUCAUCCCCAGUCUUUGUAUUGUGUGUACUGAGAAAAUAAUACCAACCGCUCACCAAGAUGGCAAUAUUACACUGAUUCAGUUAAAGGAGGCUGAAGCUAUAUCUUCUAGGGUAAGAUAACCCAAUAUAUGCUGCCAUUCUGCUAAUGGAGUUGCUAGUCAGAGGGGUCUAUGCUUUUUCGCGAAAUUGGCCUAGUGUUUUAAUAUGGUGCAGAGUGGGAUGUUUUCUG